Molecule: ribosomal RNA, 468 nt
Filed under: uncultured bacterium
Lineage: Bacteria
Description: partial 16S ribosomal RNA
Rfam family: Bacterial small subunit ribosomal RNA
Source: RNAcentral
GACGAACGCUGGCGGCGUGCUUAACACAUGCAAGUCGAACGGAAAGGCCCUGCUUUUGUGGGGUGCUAGAGGGGCGAACGGGUGAGUAACACGUGAGUAACCUGCGCUGGGCUUGGGGAUAACUUGAGGAAGCUGGGGCUAAUACAGGCUAGGAGCUCCUGCUGCAGGGGGGGGGUUGGAAAGUUUCGGCGGUGGUGGGUGGACGCGGGGCUUAUCAGCUGGUGGGUGGGGGAGUGGCUAACGAGGGCUUCGGCGGGUAGCCGGCCUGAGAGGGGGGUCGGCCACAUUGGGACUGAGGUACGGCCCAGACUGCUACGGGAGGCAGUAGUGGGGAAUAUUGCACAAUGGGCGGAAGCCUGAUGCAGCAGCGCCGCGUGCGGGAUGACGGCCUUCGGGUGGUAAACCGCUUUCGCUUGUGACCAAGCGUGAGUGACGGUAAUGGGUAAAGAAGCACCGGCUAACUACGUG